CGGAUAGAUGAUCGCGUACUGUUUGCCGUUGCUCGUGAACGGUAUGGGCAUUUUGGACUGGUUUUUUUCGGCCACCCAUAGCGAACAGUCGUCGUCGUUUUUAACUAUAAUAAUAUCGAGGUACCUAUUCAGACGUUUUCAAUUUCACGGCUCAUUCGUUUCUUCACAACAUUUUGGAGGCUCUCAUUUUAUUAAGGACACAGAUAGAGAAUGUUUUGAUGUUAAACUAUGUAUUGAAAAUUGAAAUUAAAUGUUUCACGUUUGGAAUAAAAUAAUAUUAUAUUAAUUUUUAUCAUCGUUAUCAAUAUUUAGCAUAUACUGUUACACACAUGACUAAUAUUAUGAAAUUAUAAAUUAUUAUCAUGUAAAUGUUGUAAAUACUAGUUAAUGUGUUGAAGUCCAUUUUUAAAAAAAUAUUAUUUGUAUAUUUAUUUUCAUUAUUAUUAGUUACAGUUAUUUUUAUUGUAUCUAAAAGACAAUAAUAAAUAGACAUUAAAAAGCACAUAAAGAUUUAUUCCCAAUUAAACGUAAAAAAAUAAAUUAUAUUUUCAUAUUCAAAUCAAUUUUUAAAUAAAUACGAGGGGGGAAAUGCCAUAAUCCACAGAAAAUAGGGAUCAUUGGAAAAUAAAAUUUUCUAUUUAACCUACACGCUACACUUAAUUAUAUUGUAUUUUAUGUCAUAAAAUAUCCCCUCCCUUAGAGACCGAGAAAAUCUCUUACCAUUGUUAUUUGUUCGUCAGUAUUACGUCCAGUCUUGCAGUAAAAGUAUUCAUAUACGAGUAUAUUGU
Molecule: long non-coding RNA, 788 nt
Organism: Myzus persicae (green peach aphid)
Lineage: Eukaryota; Metazoa; Arthropoda; Insecta; Hemiptera; Aphididae
Exons: 2
Source: RefSeq, a predicted model, not a curated record